Molecule: ribosomal RNA, 433 nt
Filed under: uncultured bacterium
Lineage: Bacteria
Description: partial 16S ribosomal RNA
Rfam family: Bacterial small subunit ribosomal RNA
Source: RNAcentral
AACGAACGCUGGCGGCAUGCCUAACACAUGCAAGUCGAACGAGACCUUCGGGUCUAGUGGCGCACGGGUGCGUAACGCGUGGGAACAUGCCCUUAGGUUCGGAAUAACUCCCCGAAAGGGGUGAUUAUACGGGAUAAUGUCUUAGGACCAAAGAUUUAUCGCCUUUGGAUGGGCCCUCGUUGGAUUAGCUAGUUGGUAGGGUAAAAGCCUACCCAGGCGACGAUCCAUAGCUGGUCUGAGAGGAUGAUCAGCCACACUGGGACUGAGACACGGCCCAGACUCCUACGGGAGGCAGCAGUGGUGAAUAUUGCACAAUGGGCGAAAGCCUGAUCCAGCAAUGCCGCGUGAGUGAUGAAGGCCUUAGGGUUGUAAAGCUCUUUUACCCGGGAUGAUAAUGACAGUACCGGGAGAAUAAGCUCCGGCUAACUCCGUG